This 490-nucleotide ribosomal RNA is filed under the name uncultured bacterium. Its description in RNAcentral is "partial 16S ribosomal RNA". It matches the Rfam family "Bacterial small subunit ribosomal RNA", at positions 30 to 507 of the family's 1533-position model. The record is from RNAcentral.
AUUGAACGCUGGCGGCAGGCCUAACACAUGCAAGUCGAAUGGUAACAGGAAACAGCUUGCUGUUUCGCUGACGAGUGGCGGACGGGUGAGUAAUGUCUGGGAAACUGCCUGAUGGAGGGGGAUAACUACUGGAAACGGUAGCUAAUACCGCAUAACGUCGCAAGACCAAAGAGGGGGACCUUCGGGCCUCUUGCCAUCAGAUGUGCCCAGAUGGGAUUAGCUAGUAGGUGGGGUAACGGCUCACCUAGGCGACGAUCCCUAGCUGGUCUGAGAGGAUGACCAGCCACACUGGAACUGAGACACGGUCCAGACUCCUACGGGAGGCAGCAGUGGGGAAUAUUGCACAAUGGGCGCAAGCCUGAUGCAGCCAUGCCGCGUGUAUGAAGAAGGCCUUCGGGUUGUAAAGUACUUUCAGCGGGGAGGAAGGGAGUAAAGUUAAUACCUUUGCUCAUUGACGUUACCCGCAGAAGAAGCACCGGCUAACUCCAUG